Molecule: unclassified non-coding RNA, 238 nt
Filed under: Hevea brasiliensis (rubber tree)
Lineage: Eukaryota; Viridiplantae; Streptophyta; Magnoliopsida; Malpighiales; Euphorbiaceae
Source: RNAcentral
GGGAAAUAAGUAGGUAUAUCAGAGUUUUGAUACCCCCAAUUUCUUUCGCUAAAUCAGGAAUCCAAUAAGCAAAAUCAAAGAAAACGAAAUGGGGUUUUAGAUUUUGAAGAAUUGAUUUGAUUUCAUCAUACAAUUCAUCAAAAGCAGUUGCUAACAGAGUCUCCAUUGGUCCAGGAACGUCAGCUGUUGUCUCUGCUCCAUAGGGAAGGCCAUCAACAUGAGGUAUUGUCAGUUUAUG